This 481-nucleotide ribosomal RNA is filed under the name uncultured organism. Its description in RNAcentral is "SSU rRNA". It matches the Rfam family "Bacterial small subunit ribosomal RNA", at positions 32 to 509 of the family's 1533-position model. The record is from RNAcentral.
AACGCUAGCGGCAGGCUUAACACAUGCAAGUCGCGGGGCAGCGCGGGUAGCAAUACCUGGCGGCGACCGGCGGAAGGGUGCGUAACGCGUGAGCAACAUGCCCGUAUCAGGGGGAUAACCGAUGGAAACGUCGCCUAAUACCCCAUAACAACAGAGGCUGCAUGGUCUUUGUUUGAAAGUCACGGCGGAUACGGAUUGGCUCGCGUGACAUUAGCUGGUUGGCGGGGUAACGGCCCACCAAGGCGACGAUGUCUAGGGGUUCUGAGAGGAAGGUCCCCCACACUGGAACUGAGACACGGUCCAGACUCCUACGGGAGGCAGCAGUGAGGAAUAUUGGUCAAUGGGCGCAAGCCUGAACCAGCCAUGCCGCGUGCAGGAAUGAGGCCCUAUGGGUCGUAAACUGCUUUUGCUGCGGAGCAAUAAGGGUUACGUGUAAUCUGAUGAGAGUACGCAGCGAAUAAGCAUCGGCUAACUCCGUGCC